This is a small nuclear RNA of Hyaena hyaena (striped hyena), 105 nucleotides long. Lineage: Eukaryota; Metazoa; Chordata; Mammalia; Carnivora; Hyaenidae. The record is from RefSeq and is a predicted model, not a curated record.
GUGCUUGCUUCAGCAGCACAUAUAUUAAAAUUGGAAGGACUCAGAGAAGAAUGGCAUAGCCCUGCACACAGAUGACAGAAAAUUCAUGAAGCCUUCCAUAUUAAA